UACUGGACCAGCCGAGCUUAUCUUCAUUAUGAGAAGGGAUAUUUUGACCUCGCUAUCGGAGAUGCAUACCGUGCCCAAAUGCUUUGUGAAGUUUUGAUAAAUCCACAAUUACGAAACCGACAGCCAGGGUUGUACAUUCGAAUCUGGGAUGCCCUCGAAAAGCAUAUAUUACAGAUACCCACCACGAAUGUCAACAGACCCGGUGCAGUCGAGUUAUUACGGGGUUCGGACGGGAUCAAUUGUUUCAUUCCAACCAUCUGCACAGCCAUACAUCACAUUAUUAGUCUAAGUUUACUCAGUCUGCAUUGUUGGUCAGAUUACGAAGCUGUAGAAAGACCUUUAGCAGAAAGGCCAGUAGAGGAGGAUCGGGCUACGCCGGAAAUUAGGGAGCGAUGGGCCAGAAUCAAACUUCUCGUGGAAACUAACCAGCAAGAUCAAAGGAGCAAUUCCGAUGAGUACUUUUUCGAAACCAACUAUGGCCAUGUUAUACUACGAGACUAUCCAUAUAGCGCCCAGGAUGUUGACAGGACGAUUGAUGUGUUUAAGAAGAGGAUAACUGAACAUUUCAUUGGC
RNAcentral lists this small RNA (573 nucleotides) under Histoplasma capsulatum var. duboisii H88. RNAcentral's name for it is "Histoplasma capsulatum H88 hypothetical RNA". Lineage: Eukaryota; Fungi; Ascomycota; Eurotiomycetes; Onygenales; Ajellomycetaceae. The record is from RNAcentral.